GUAUUAGUUAGGUUCUUGAAACCCAAAGGAUUUGGCGGUAUUUUAGUCCUUUCAGAGGAACCUGCCCCUUAAUCGACAGUCCACGGUUUUGUUUACUUGUUUUUGUUUUCAGCUUGUAUACCUCCGUCAUAAGAGUGUCUUUUUAGGGAUAAUUCUCUUAAUUUUUGUUAGUAAAGAUGUCAGGUCAAGGUGCAGCUUAUGGUCAAGUGUGAGGUGGGUUACAAUAGUUUUAUCUAUACGAAUACUGGUUUUGUCAAACCUGUUGAAGGUGGAUUUGAAAGUAAACUUAUUAGCUUUAAUUUUUUGAUUUUGGCUCUAAAAUAUGCAC
This 328-nucleotide ribosomal RNA is filed under the name Caledopteryx maculata. Its description in RNAcentral is "partial 12S ribosomal RNA". The record is from RNAcentral. Lineage: Eukaryota; Metazoa; Arthropoda; Insecta; Odonata; Argiolestidae.